This 526-nucleotide ribosomal RNA is filed under the name uncultured Entrophospora. Its description in RNAcentral is "SSU rRNA". It matches the Rfam family "Eukaryotic small subunit ribosomal RNA", at positions 591 to 1113 of the family's 1831-position model. The record is from RNAcentral. Lineage: Eukaryota; Fungi; Glomeromycota; Glomeromycetes; Entrophosporales; Entrophosporaceae.
CCAAUAGCGUAUAUUAAAGUUGUUGCAGUUAAAAAGCUCGUAGUUGAAUUUCGGGAUUGACGUGAUGGUCGUGCCUUACGGGGUAUGAACUGUUGCUGUUGAUUUCUCACCUUCUGGAGAAACUUGAUGUCCUUAAUUGGGUGUCUCGCGGAUCCAGGACCUUUACCUUGAAAAAAUUAGAGUGUUUAAAGCAGGCAUUUUGCUCGAAUACAUUAGCAUGGAAUAAUAGAAUAGGACGGCAUGGUUCUAUUUUGUUGGUUUCUAGGAUCACCGUAAUGAUUAAUAGGGAUAGUUGGGGGCAUUAGUAUUCAAUUGUCAGAGGUGAAAUUCUUGGAUUUAUUGAAGACUAACUACUGCGAAAGCAUUUGCCAAGGAUGUUUUCAUUAAUCAAGAACGAAAGUUAGGGGAUCGAAGACGAUCAGAUACCGUCGUAGUCUUAACCAUAAACUAUGCCGACUAGGAAUCAGACGAUGUUAAUUUUUUAAUGACUCGUUUGGCACCUUACGGGAACCAAAGUGUUUGGGUC